This 254-nucleotide ribosomal RNA is filed under the name Enterobacter sp. ku-bf2. RNAcentral's name for it is "partial 23S ribosomal RNA". It matches the Rfam family "Bacterial large subunit ribosomal RNA", at positions 2689 to 2925 of the family's 2925-position model. The record is from RNAcentral. Lineage: Bacteria; Pseudomonadati; Pseudomonadota; Gammaproteobacteria; Enterobacterales; Enterobacteriaceae.
GGACCGGAGUGGACGCAUCACUGGUGUUCGGGUUGUCAUGCCAAUGGCACUGCCCGGUAGCUAAAUGCGGAAAAGAUAAGUGCUGAAAGCAUCUAAGCACGAAACUUGCCCCGAGAUGAGUUCUCCCUGAGACUUUAAGUCUCCUGAAGGAACGUUGAAGACGACGACGUUGAUAGGUCGGGUGUGUAAGCGCAGCGAUGCGUUGAGCUAACCGAUACUAAUGAACCGUGAGGCUUAACCUUACAACGCCGAAG